Long non-coding RNA from Manis pentadactyla (Chinese pangolin), 1581 nucleotides. RefSeq lists it as uncharacterized. The record is from RefSeq and is a predicted model, not a curated record. The transcript is spliced from 3 exons. NCBI's taxonomy places the organism in Eukaryota, Metazoa, Chordata, Mammalia, Pholidota, Manidae.
AGAGCAGUGGGUAGCCUUAUCCCUGUGGGAUCCUGCCCAGCAGAGGCGUACUCUGAGGGCCCCAGCCCGCAGCCAUGCUGGCAUGUGGUUCCCAAGUCAGAGCUGUCUGCCCUGGGCUGCCACUCCAGCAGGGCUGAUGGACGAGGAGCACAGAGCAGUUUGUGAGGUGCCCAAGGUGGCACGUGCCCUGGCCUGGGUCUGGGGGUGCGACCAGCAAAAUCCCAAAUGAGGUAAAUGGCAUCAGACUUCCUCAAAAACAAAGUCAAAGGAAGAAGAAAAGAGGAAGGGAGCCAUAGGUGAAGAGACCAGAGAAACAUCGGCCAGCGGCAUCCUGUGGGCCUUGCUUGGAUCUUGGUUCAGGCGAACUAAAGCCCCUGUGAACAUGGGGAUGCCGAGCUGCCUUCGCUUCUCAGGUGUGACAGCAGCGUCAGGCUGUUUAAGAAGAAAGGCUCUGGCAGUCUCACCCUGAGGUGCCUGUGGUGGCCUGCUGAGCUGGCAGGUGCAGCCUGCGGCCUGGGACAGGUGGCUGAGGCCUCACCCUGUGGAGGCCCGUGUGAGGGCGGGCCCAGGUCGGGGAGAGGCCUCACCCAACAGGCAUCAGCUGCGACCGUGUGCGCUCUGUGCUGAGAUGUGCGACUUGUCUUCAACCACACUGAGAGUGAGUUGGGGUCAGGACCCAGAGGGGAGCAACCUCUUGGGAGGUUCCAGAAAGGAGGUGCUGGUGGCUGAGGCCCAGGUUGGGCACAGAGAUGUGCCUGCAGCAAGGUGGCCUCCUGUGGGGGCAUGGUUGCUGGGAACUGCCCACCCAGCUGGCCACAGCACAUUGUCCCCAUUCCACAGGGCUCGUCUUGGUAUACACCCCUGGGUUUGGACAAAUGUGUAAUGACCCGUAUCCAUCGUUGAAGCGCCAUGAAGAAGUUCCGCUGCUCUACAGAUCCCCGGGGCCCCUCCUGUGCGUCCCUUCCUCCCCUCAUCCCCGGGCCUUCACGGUCUCCAUACUGUCGCCUUUUCCAGAGUGUCACGGAGGGGCUCACAGCGCGUGGCCUUCCCAGGUCGGCUUCUCCCCCGUGGUCCUGUGCGUGGGAGGGCCCUCGUGUGUUCUCCUGGCCCGAUGGCGCGUCUCUCUUUGGUGCCGAGUAACACCCAUCGCCUGGAUGGUCCACAGUCUGUCCGUCACCCGUGAAGGACGCCUUGGUUGCUUCCAGGUUUGGGCCGUUACGGAUAAAUCUGCUGUAAACAUCCGCGUAUGGGGUUUUGUGUGGACAUAAGUUAUCAAUUUCUUUGGGUAAAUAACCAAGGGGUGGGAUUGCUGAGUUGUUGGUAAGAGUAUGUUUAUUUUAAGAAACCUCCAAACUGUCUUCCGACGCAGCUACGCCACCUGCGUUCCCGCCCAUGGCGAGUGGGGGUCCCUGCCACGCCUCGUCUUCUUCAGCAUUCCGGGUGUCAGUGUUCUGGAUUUGGGCCACUCUCAUAGGUACAGUGCGGUGGGAUCUCAUGGGUGUAUUCUUUACAUGUAUUUUUAAACAGCUGCUGUGAUGUGUUUUUACGAAAAUAAGCAGAUUAAAAUCCCCUAUACUUUAA